GGGAGGAAAAGAAACUAACAAGGAUUUUCUUAGUAGCGGCGAGCGAAAAGAAAAUAGUUCAGCACUAAGUCACUUUGUCUCUAUGGCAAAUGUGAGAUGCAGUGUAUGGAAUGUCAAAUUUCUAGUAUGAGAAAUUAACGAUUUAAGUCCUUCUUAAAUGAGGUCAUUCACCCAAAGAGGGUGCUAGGCCCGUAUAACGUUAAUGAUUACUAGAUGGCAUUUCCAAAGAGUCGUGUUGCUUGAUAGUGCAGCACUAAGUGGGUGGUAAACUCCAUCUAAAACUAAAUAUAACCAUGAGACCGAUAGUAAACAAGUACCGUGAGGGAAAGUUGAAAAGAACUCUGAAUAGAGAGUUAAAUAGUACGUGAAACUGCUUAGAGGUUAAGCCCGAUGAACCUGAAUAUCCGUUAUGGAAAAUUCAUCAUUAUGAUUUUAAUAUUAAUAAUAUUAUAAUAAUGGUGUGCAUUUUUUCUAUAAAGGACAUUGUAAUCUAUUAACAUAAAAAAUAUUUAUCAAAAGAUCUUUGGCUUAAGUUUAUUCGAAUUAUUUUGCUUGCAAUUUAAUACAGAAUAAAUGCCUUUGAUUUGAUAAAGUGUUGAUAGAUUUAUUAUAAUAUAGUGCUUAAAUAUUUAUAUUUUAUAAUAGCAUAUUAAUCAUUGAUUUUUAUGUUCAUUAUAUGCACUUAUAUGAUUUACAAUGCGAAAGAUUCAGGAUACCUUCGGGACCCGUCUUGAAACACGGACCAAGGAGUCUAACAUAUUUGCAAGUUAUUGGGAAUAAAAACCUAAUAGCGAAAUUAACAUAACUUUAUUAUGGGAUUAGUUUUUAGCCUAUAUUAUAGUCUAUUAAUUCAAUCCCGGGGCGUUCUAUACAGUUAUGUAUAAUAAUAUUUAUAUUAUUUAUACCUCUAACUAGAGCGUACCUUGAGCAUAUAUGCUGUGACCCGAAAGAUGGUGAACUAUACUUGAUCAGGUUGAAGUCAGGGGAAACCCUGAUGGAAGACCGAAACAG
Molecule: ribosomal RNA, 1011 nt
Filed under: Cordylobia anthropophaga (tumbu fly)
Lineage: Eukaryota; Metazoa; Arthropoda; Insecta; Diptera; Calliphoridae
Description: eukaryotic LSU rRNA
Rfam family: Eukaryotic large subunit ribosomal RNA
Source: RNAcentral